Molecule: transfer RNA, 67 nt
Filed under: Dendrothrips minowai
Lineage: Eukaryota; Metazoa; Arthropoda; Insecta; Thysanoptera; Thripidae
Description: tRNA-Glu
Source: RNAcentral
AUUUAUGUAAUUUAAAUAAAAUAUAAUAUUUUCAAUAUUAAAUUAAGGAACUCCCCCUUCAUAAAUA